This 1299-nucleotide long non-coding RNA is filed under the name Sinocyclocheilus anshuiensis. RNAcentral's name for it is "lncRNA (ENSSANG00000042915.1)". The record is from RNAcentral. Lineage: Eukaryota; Metazoa; Chordata; Actinopteri; Cypriniformes; Cyprinidae.
AUGAGACAGGGGUCACCACUGUCCAGAAACCGGAGAAGGCAAGUGUGGAACACUUGUCACUGUGGCAUGUGCAGUGAAUGCACUGGGGAAUGCAAUCCCUCCACACUUUGUGUUUCACAGGGUAAACCUCAACCCUCAUUUCAUCAGGGAUGUUGUACAGGAACAGCCAACAAAUCAGGAUGGAUACAGGAUGAAGAUUUUCUAGAGUUCUUAUGCCACUUUCAAACCCAUACAAGAGCCUCUCCAACACAGAAGGGCUUGCUGAUCCUCGGCAAUCAUCACUCCCACAUGUCUUUGCGAGGAAUUGACUUUUGUCGUGAAUCUGGCAUUAUUCUCCUCUCCUACCCCCCGCACUAUUCCCACAAGUUGCAGCCACUGGACCGCAGUGUGUUUGGCCCUUUCAAGAUGGUUUACAGCUUCUCUGAUAGCUGGAUGAGACAUCAUCCUGGAACAACCAUGUCCAUUUACGACAUACCAGCAAUUGUAAGGGAUUCUUUCCCAAUGGCUGCCACACCAUCAGAUAUCCAGGCUGGCUUCAGGUGCACAGGCAUUUGGCCCUUCAACAGGGAAAUUUUCAGUGAUGCUUAUUUUGCACCAUCCUGCGUCACUGAUCGUCCACACAAUCCUGAGACAUCAGUCACUGGUCCAGCUUCCACUGUGUCUGUGGCUGGGCAGUUCUCUACCUCCACCGUGCCUGCCAAUGCAUCCAUCUCUGGGACACCCUACAUCGCCUUAAACGUACCUACAACUGGGCCUUUCUCCACCACUUACACUGUGCCUGUCACUGGGCCAAGUUCCAUUGCCUUCAUCAGGCCUGCUGCUGGAACAUCUUCCUUGAUCAAUGAGGACUUUUCACCUAUCUUGGUGAGGCCAUUCCCAAAAGCAGGGCCCCGAAAGACAACUAAGACCAGAAAAAGGAGACCGACUGAAAUUCUUACAGACACACCUGCCAGGAAUUCCCUUGAGGAAGAGCAGGAGAUGGCAUCUUUGUCCAAAGUAAAACGAAAGAUCUUUGCAAAAAAGGAGAAAAUGGUAAAGAAAGGAAAGAAGUACACAAAAGAAUAUAAGGAUGAGACUGUGGAAGAAGAAUUUAAUUCACCAGAGGAGCAGAACAAAACAUCUUCCUCUAAUGUAAAGCAAAGGAUCUCUGCAGAAAAGGAAAAAAUAGGAAAAGAAAGAAGUCUACAAAAGAAAAUGUUGAGGAAAGCGAGGAAGAGAAAGAAUUCUGCAUUGUCUGCCUUGAGAGCUAUUCAAAAUCAAAGGAGGUCUGGCUGUCUUGUGUGUCUUGCCAUUCUGUGA